AGCGAACGCUGGCGGCAGGCUUAACACAUGCAAGUCGAACGCCCGGGCAACCGGGAGUGGCAGACGGGUGAGUAACGCGUGGGAACGUACCCUUUGGUUCGGAAUAACUCAGGGAAACUUGAGCUAAUACCGGAUAAGCCCUUUUGGGGAAAGAUUUAUCGCCGAAGGAUCGGCCCGCGUCCGAUUAGCUAGUUAGUGAGGUAACGGCUCACCAAGGCGACGAUCGGUAGCUGGUCUGAGAGGAUGAUCAGCCACACUGGGACUGAGACACGGCCCAGACUCCUACGGGAGGCAGCAGUGGGGAAUAUUGGACAAUGGGGGCAACCCUGAUCCAGCCAUGCCGCGUGAGUGAUGAAGGCCCUAGGGUUGUAAAGCUCUUUCGGCGGGGACGAUAAUGACGGUACCCGCAGAAGAAGCCCCGGCUAACUUCGUGCCAGCAGCCGCCGCAG
RNAcentral lists this ribosomal RNA (449 nucleotides) under uncultured bacterium. RNAcentral describes it as "partial 16S ribosomal RNA". It matches the Rfam family "Bacterial small subunit ribosomal RNA", at positions 29 to 523 of the family's 1533-position model. The record is from RNAcentral.